RNAcentral lists this ribosomal RNA (869 nucleotides) under uncultured bacterium. RNAcentral's name for it is "bacterial SSU rRNA". It matches the Rfam family "Bacterial small subunit ribosomal RNA", at positions 64 to 906 of the family's 1533-position model. The record is from RNAcentral.
GAACGCUGAUUACGGGGUAGCAAUAUUCCGUAGUCGGAGUGGCGCAAGGGUGCGUAACACGUGGGCAAUUUGCCGCGAAGCCUGGAAUAACUCGCUGAAAGGCGAGCUAAUGCCGGAUGUGAUUUCUGGAGAGCAUCCUCCGGAACUCAAAGCUGGGGACCGUAAGGCCUGGCGCUUCGCGAUAAGCCCGCGGCCUAUCAGCUAGUUGGUGAGGUAACGGCCCACCAAGGCUAAGACGGGUAGCUGGUCUGAGAGGACGACCAGCCACACUGGAACUGAGACACGGUCCAGACACCUACGGGUGGCAGCAGUCGAGAAUUUUUCACAAUGGGCGAAAGCCUGAUGGAGCGACGCCGCGUGGGGGAUGAAUGGCUUCGGCCCGUAAACCCCUGUCAUUUGCGAUCAAACCGCAUUAUUUAAAAGAUGAUGCGCUGAUAGUAGCGAAAGAGGAAGGGACGGCUAACUCUGUGCCAGCAGCCGCGGUAAUACAGAGGUCCCAAGCGUUGUUCGGAUUCACUGGGCGUAAAGGGUGCGUAGGUGGUCGGGUAAGUCUGAUGUGAAAUCUCCGAGCUUAACUCGGAAACGGCAUCGGAUACUAUUCGGCUCGAGGGUUGGAGGGGGGACUGGAAUACUUGGUGUAGCAGUGAAAUGCGUAGAUAUCAAGUGGAACACCAGUGGCGAAGGCGAGUCCCUGGACAACUCCUGACGCUGAGGCACGAAAGCUAGGGGAGCAAACAGGAUUAGAUACCCUGGUAGUCCUAGCCGUAAACGGUGCACGUUUGCUGUAAGAGGAAUCGACCCCUUUUGUGGCGAAGCUAACGCGUUAAACGUGCCGCCUGGGAAGUACGGUCGCAAGAUUAAACUCAAAU